AAAGUUAACUAAACAGUCGCUGCUUUUUAAUAUUAAUUUAUAUUUUAAUUUGUAUAUAUAAAAAGGGGAGGAAAGUCCGGGCUCCUAGGGUAGGGUGCCAGGUAAUACCUGGGAAGUGAGAGCUUACGACUAGUGCAACAGAAAAUAAACCGCUUAAGUUGUAAUUUUAAGUAAGGGUGAAAAGGUGUGGUAAGAGCACACCGCAUACCUGGUAACAGUGUAUGGUAUUGUAAACUCCACCUGGAGCAAGGCCAAACAGGGAUUUAAAGUAUAACCCAUACUAAUGCCCGGGUAGGCUGCUUGAACUAACAAGUAAUUGUUAGUCUAGAUGAAUGACUGUUCACGACAGAACCCGGCUUACAGGUUGACUUUUUAA
The sequence is an RNase P RNA, 376 nucleotides long. It matches the Rfam family "Bacterial RNase P class A". Rfam says of the family: Ribonuclease P (RNase P) is a ubiquitous endoribonuclease, found in archaea, bacteria and eukarya as well as chloroplasts and mitochondria. Its best characterised activity is the generation of mature 5'-ends of tRNAs by cleaving the 5'-leader elements of precursor-tRNAs.